UUGAUCCCUGGACUCACACGGUGGGUUAAGGAUGCAGCAUUUCUGUGAGUGCUAGUGUAGGUAACAGACGCCGCUCGGCUCUGGCACUGCUGUGGCUGUGGACUGGGUUGGCAGAUGCAGCUCCGAUUUGACCACUAGCCUGGGAACUUCCAUAUGCCACAGGUGCAACCCUGAAAAAGCAAAAAACAAAACUAAACAAAAAACAAAAUUAAAAUAUCUUUAUUAUCUUUGCUGAUUAUAAGUAUUAUGUGCUCAUUGUAAACUAAUUUAACAAUACAAAAUUUUAUAAAACAGUACAUAAAAGUAUUCCAAACCAAGUGUAUGCUAUAUAUAGACAUACACAGGAUUCUAAACAUUUCGUAACCCAGUCCCUACUUUUCUUUCCUUUUAAUUAAUUACAUAUCAUUAACAUCUUUCUAUGUCAGUGCAGAUGGGUCUCCCUCAUUCUUUUUAAUGGCUGUAUAUUCAUUAAAUAAAUGACCAAUAUUGUGUUGAGACAUUUAGGACAUUAUCCAGCUGUUUGUUGUUACAAGCAAUGCAAUAAACAUUAUUUUACUUAGAUUUUUUUUGAUGCACUUUUCAAUUAAUUCCUUGGGCUAGAUUUUAGUAUUGGACUCAGUGGACCAAAGGGCAUGCACAUUUAAAAUGUUAAUAGACAAGCCAAAUUGCCUUCCAGAAAAUUGGACCAAUUUGCACCUCUAGCAACAAUGUAUGGAAGACUCCACUUUCCCACUUUUGAUCACAUUGGAUAUUAUUAUUAUUAUCCAUUUUGCAAAUCCAAUUAUUAGGUAAUCUUCUAUUUUAAUGGAUCAUCUGCAUUUUUUCUUUUGCAAAAUGCCUAAUAAAUCCUCUGUUCCCUCAUCAGAAUAUUAACCCCAAAGAACACAGAUUGAAUUUAUUAAUUUCUCUGGAUGUGUUUAUUUUAGUCAUUAAUUCUAAUUCCAUAACUACAGAUGCAUUUUAGAGAGUUUUUGCAUUUAUUUCCUUCUUGGUAUCCUUAAAAAUUUACUUAAAGAUUGUGCUGUCUUUUACCCUCUUGCAACACCAUCCCCCAAAUCCCUCACUCUGUGAGGAUAAUGACACUUGACAGUGGCGACGAAAUCUGAAGAACACAGCAUUUGCAUCUCAAAUAUAAUAUUGCUAAUAUAAAAAAAUUUUAUCUCCUUUCCUUAACAGUUUUGAACAUGUGAGGCUGGGAUAUUAGUAAGGAAAUUCUCGUUGAGUGCAAUAUUUAGAGAAUUUUCCUGUUUCUAUUUGUAAUGAGGUACACAAACACAAAUUAUGUUAGGAUACAAGCUUAAAGGGUUAGCAGUGUUUUAAAAACAGUUGUCAGACUCAAGUGAAACACCUGGUGAAAUGUGGAUUUUUUUUUUCCUAAAUAGUUCUAACAUGUGCACAUAUAUUACUUAUUUUAAAAUGUCAGCUGAGGUUAUCUAGAUGGUAAAAUUAUAGGGUUUUCUGUUUUGUUCCCUAUAUAUUUUUAUAUUCAAAAAACUAAUAAAGCAUUUAAAUCUCUUUACAGAGAUAUUUAUGUACAUAAAAGAGUAGGGACAUUCACUACUAGAGUGGUGUGGUGCCAAGACUUUUAGAAUGAAAUCCAAGAACCUGGGAUUCUUAUCUCCUCCACUCCCCUCUGACCUCAGGAGAAUCCCAUAGCUGCCUUUUUCUUUAACUCAAGAACAUCUUUGUUAAGUGCCUCUACUGUAAUGAAGCUUUAGAGCUUUUAUUCUUGCGGGGGGCGGGGGAGAGGGUUCAGAGAACAAAUUAUUGCAAUGAUAUGAUAAACCGCCAGUUUACUUUUUUUUUUUUCUUUCUUUUUAUGGUUAAAACCUGUGGCAUAUGGAAGUUCCUGGAUUAGGGGUCGAAUCAGAGCAGCAGCUGCUGGCCUUUGCCACAGCCACAGCCAUACCAGAUCCAAGCUGUGUCUUCAACCUGCACCACAGCUCAAGGCAACCUAACCCACUGAGCAAGGCCAAGGAUCAAAUCUGCAUCUUCAUGGAUACUAGCCGGUUCUUAACCCUCUGAGCCACAACAGGAACUCCACCACCAGUUUACAAUUUACCAACUACUUUUUCCUUGAUCAGAGAUGGCAUUAUUUUAUCCACUUUUUUUUUUUUUGGCAGUCUGAUAGGUGAAAAGUAUUUCCUUACUUUAUUAGGCGUUUAUUUGAUUCACAGUAAUGCUGAGGUUGAACAUCUUUUCCCCUCUCUCCUUUUGUAUGCCUCUCUGUGUGUGUGUGAUUCUCACAGUUACAUCCUUUGUUCCUAAUCCACACGAGAACACGAGAAGGGAGAACCUAUGAGAGCCCUAACACAGUGGUCAGGGAGGGAUCCCCUCCCUAAGACUUGAAGGAUGAGUAAAGAUGACAGCUGUGUGUGAGAUGAGAAGUGCUAUUAUCUCUCAGAUCAAAGUCCACCUUUAUAUACUCUGACUUUGUGAGUCAGGGACUAAAACUGAAAAUAACAUUUUUAUUUUGCCAGCUGCCUCCCUGCCAGGUUUUGCCAGUGGGAAAACUGGAAGGAAACUGGAAGGCAGGAGUUGGGAGAUAGGAUUUGAGCCUUCCUUUGUACUCGCUGUUACUUUUGGUGUCUCCCCAGUGAAAUCCCUUCACUCCGGCAGCUGCAGUUGGUUUCAGCCUCCAGUUGUAAUUCUUGGUUGGCAUUGCAAGAACCAGCGUCAUCCUGACUCCACAGAGAUACCAAGAGCCGUCUGGAUGUUCCUACUUCUCAGAGUCUCAGCCCACACCUGGUAUGUCACCACUGGUGGGGCAAAAUCCCUCCUCCUAAAUUUGAGUCCUUGGGCUUUCUUGUGCAAACUUGAGCUCAGCUCAAGUCUCUUCCCUUGGUUUUUCCAAAAAAGCUGCUUACAAUCUCUAUUUUGCCCUUGGGACCCCAUUCCAUUAAAUUCUUUCUGAUGAAACACCUAGUGUGAUUUUUGCUUUCCUUGCUAGACCCUGAGGAACUCCUGUGGAGGAGAGAUGAGGUUUAUCUUUUGCCUGUUGAGAUUAAAGGGCUACAGGGCAACUGGAUUUUAAGACUAGCAGGCAGUUGGAAACAGUAGACUCUAACUUAAAAAAGUGUAUAUUAAAACUAGAAAAAUUAGAAUGAUCUGCCUCCUUAUCUACAUAGAAUCAGGCUUGGUAUAAACAAUCACUUCUAGCUUUGAAUUUUCUGACGUGUAGAAAUGUAUUGAUGCUUUUGUUAUGAAGAUAUUUUUGUGAUAAGAGUAGCUGAACAGCUGACUUGCGGAUAGCUUCAGUUAUGGAGCAAUCGAAAAGUCUAAAAACUCAGAACAGUCUUCAAGCAUCAUGCUAUCAAUUAAACCAAAAAUUUUACGUGGUAAUGUGGCCUCUAAAGUUUUUAGAGUGAUAGUAGAAGUGAAAAUGUCCCAUUAUUUUGAGUGGUUUGAGUAAAACUGGAGUAAAGAUGCUAAAUGCUAUAAUAUCCCUCAACAGAAGAACUUGGAGUGGAUGAGCAGUUUCCCAUUAUCACUCCAUGAGAGGCAAUCUUCUUUCUUCUACCAGUUUUCACAAAAGGAAAUCUAAAUACCACUGAAGAGUUUUAGACAUUAGGCUAAAGCCUCUUUAGCUCCUUAGAAUGGAAGACGAAGAGAAAGGUCAAAAAAACAAAACACUACAAAAACCAUAUCGUACUAUUAUUAAGUCAUCAAAAACUUUUCAGUGUACUUGAGACCUCUAUUCCCCUACUGUUGCCAACCAAUCAAAGUGGCCAUCCUAGCUAAUAAGCUGGUAUGAGAUGGUACUUUUGAAAAAGAUACUGCCUUUGGGAAAGACCUCUGUGUGCCUUUGUAAGGUAAUAAGUUCAAGGGAAACCUAGCUGACACACUCCAAUGAUUUCAAGGCAGUUUAAAUGUAAUAAAAUAGGCGUGAAAUGCUCUAAUAAGUGCUCCUAAGUCAGGCUUCCUCAGUCUGAUAUUUAGAGGUUUAAAGUAGAAAAGCCUUUUUCAAAUAGAACAAAACAUGAGGCAGGAUCAAGAGUGGCGCAUAUAAAACCAGCCUGAGCACUGUUUUAAAGUUUUUAAUGUGCUACAACAAUGAAGGGGAACACUUUACAGUUAUCACAGUUUUCUUUUUUUGUUUUCAUUUCUUACAUGUUUAACCUUUUUCCUCUUUUCAGUCUCCAUUGUUUCAUGGUCAUUUGUUGGGCAAGGAAUAUUUCAAGUAUUUUAUUUUGUUAUGAGAAAAAGUCUAUCGGUUUUUCUUUGAGACUCUGAAUUCAUAUGAAUUUUUCCAUGGGAUCUGUUUCUUAACGUGUGAUUAGUUCCAUUACCCAUGAGAAUAAAAAUGUUCAGCGGAAAAAAAAAAAAGUUCAGCGAUAGGCUGUAUCCAUAAAUCAGAUUUGAGGUGGUUUGAUCUGAAGUUCUGAAAUGUUAUGUUUUUACUUUAUGUAUUUUUGAUCUUUUGAGUAUGAAUUUUUUAAUAUUAUGAGUUUCUUCCACUUUCCUAUUUUUUCUUUUAAUUUUACAAAGUGAAAGAACAGAAACUCUAGGAAUAAGAUCCGUGUUUUAAGGAUGAAAGUUGUCAGCAUCUCUUGAAAUGUAGGCUUCUAGACUCCUUAACUAUUUCUUCGCAUCUAAUCUUCAGUGCAUCAUCAUUGUUUUGCAUUUUAAUUCUUGGUCCAGGAGGAAUAUUUGUAAAAGGACUUCCUUAGGAGUUCCCAUCGUGGCUCUGCAGAAACAAAUCUGACUAGGAACCAUGAGGUUUCGGCUUCGAUCCCCCUCUCUCAGUGGCUUAAGGAUCCAGUGUUGCCGUGAGCUGUGGUAUAGGUUGCAGACACAGCUCAGAUCUGGCAUUACUGUGACUGUGGUGUAGACUGGCAGCGAUAGCUCUAAUUAGACCUCUGGCCUGGGAACCGCCAUGUGUUGUGGGUGCGGCCCGAAAAAG
This 4903-nucleotide long non-coding RNA is filed under the name Sus scrofa (pig). RNAcentral's name for it is "lncRNA (ENSSSCG00000063432.1)". The record is from RNAcentral. Lineage: Eukaryota; Metazoa; Chordata; Mammalia; Artiodactyla; Suidae.